UCCAUUUCUCCUCUAAGUCUCUCACUCUCUCACCCAAUCACUCAAAACUCACAACAAUCAAGCUUAACUCCAUCGUCUACUAGUAUAUUCGAGCUUGUAUCGCGUUGGACAAAGCUUGGUUCGGUGUAUUGUUGCUUGAUUUGGACUCCGGAAGCUAGGGUUUGCACAAUCUCCUUGAUUUCGGUUUGGAUACUCGAGGUGCUAACCCGGAACCCUAGCUUGCAUUGCUUGGCGUGCUUGGAGUGUGGUCAUUAUUUUUGAAAGCUAACCGAAGGAGUUACUUAUUCAUCGUUGUAAAUUUAUUUUGAAAGAUGUAUUCGUAACUUAAAUUGUAAUUCUUUUGAUUUGGAAUAUUGUAACCCUUAAUCCUCUUUCGACAUUUGAUACUUAUGUUGAUUUGGGGCCGUUGAGCCUAUAUUGUAAUAUUUUGGAAACUUUGUGAAUUUGGAAGCUUAACUAAGGAAAUGAGAACACAGUGA
Molecule: long non-coding RNA, 479 nt
Organism: Rhododendron vialii
Lineage: Eukaryota; Viridiplantae; Streptophyta; Magnoliopsida; Ericales; Ericaceae
Exons: 2
Source: RefSeq, a predicted model, not a curated record